AUACGGAGGGUGCAAGCGUUAUUCGGAAUCACUGGGCGUAAAGGACGCGUAGGCGGGUUGGCGAGUCAGAUGUGAAAUCCUACAGCUUAACUGUAGAACUGCAUUUGAAACUGCUAACCUAGAGUAUGGGAGGGGGAGAUGGAAUUAGUGGUGUAGGGGUAAAAUCCGUAGAUAUCACUAGGAAUACCGAAAGCGAAGGCGAUCUCCUGGAACAUAACUGACGCUAAGGCGUGAAAGCGUGGGGAGCAAACAGGAUUAGAAACCCUAGUAGUCC
RNAcentral lists this ribosomal RNA (274 nucleotides) under uncultured bacterium. RNAcentral describes it as "partial 16S ribosomal RNA". It matches the Rfam family "Bacterial small subunit ribosomal RNA", at positions 523 to 796 of the family's 1533-position model. The record is from RNAcentral.